UUAAAAUGAACCUUUUUCCUAGUUAUAGAUUUGUUUUUCUGUUUGGUAGACAUCAAUACCAAGUAGCAAGUUGCAUUAUGUUGGAGAUUCUUGCAAAGAAUUCAGAGUGCACUUUUCCUUUCUACCUAUCAUGUUCCUGAAGAUUUAGAUAACAGCAACAAACAAGGUGACUAGGCUAGGGGACAACAUUUGAUUUGCAUUGUACAUAACUUAGUGCUGCUGCACCAAACAAGCCUUUUCUGUUAUGUAACUGCAGUUUUUGAUCAAAAUGCUGUGAAAUGGGACUGUGUUAUUCAUAGUCAUGGGAACCCUACGCGUUUGGGGUACAGAGAGAGUAACAUGUAAGGGAGGCAUAUAUUACUGACCC
This 367-nucleotide long non-coding RNA is filed under the name Lupinus angustifolius (narrow-leaved blue lupine). RNAcentral describes it as "long non-coding RNA (LANG_LNC002251)". Lineage: Eukaryota; Viridiplantae; Streptophyta; Magnoliopsida; Fabales; Fabaceae. The record is from RNAcentral.